RNAcentral lists this ribosomal RNA (496 nucleotides) under uncultured bacterium. RNAcentral's name for it is "partial 16S ribosomal RNA". It matches the Rfam family "Bacterial small subunit ribosomal RNA", at positions 28 to 506 of the family's 1533-position model. The record is from RNAcentral.
GAUGAACGCUGGCGGCGUGCCUAAUACAUGCAAGUCGAGCGAACGGACGAGAAGCUUGCUUUUCUGAUGUUAGCGGCGGACGGGUGAGUAACACGUGGAUAACCUACCUAUAAGACUGGGAUAACUUCGGGAAACCGGAGCUAAUACCGGAUAAUAUUUUGAACCGCAUGGUUCAAAAGUGAAAGACGGUCUUGCUGUCACUUAUAGAUGGAUCCGCGCUGCAUUAGCUAGUUGGUAAGGUAACGGCUUACCAAGGCAACGAUGCAUAGCCGACCUGAGAGGGUGAUCGGCCACACGGGAACUGAGACACGGUCCAGACUCCGACGGGAGGCAGCAGUAGGGAAUCUUCCGCAAUGGGCGAAAGCCUGACUGAGCAACGCCGCGGGAGUGAUGAAGGUCUGCGGAUCGUAAAACUAUGUUAUUAGGGAAGAACAUAUGUGUAAGUAACUGUGAAAAUCUUGACGGUACCUAAUCAGAAAGCCACGGCUAACUACGG